Molecule: long non-coding RNA, 712 nt
Organism: Phyllostomus discolor (pale spear-nosed bat)
Lineage: Eukaryota; Metazoa; Chordata; Mammalia; Chiroptera; Phyllostomidae
Exons: 2
Source: RefSeq, a predicted model, not a curated record
AUUAAAGGAAGUUUUCUUGUGUUUCUAGUCCUGUGGUUAAGUCUCACUGGAGUCUUUGAACCAGUCAUGUGGCAAUGACCAUGGGAUUCUCUGAUCUGACCCUUUCUAGAGCUGGGGAGUUGGUUCUGCCCCAUUCAAACCAUGCUAAGAUCGGAAGGGGGUGGUUAUCUUAAAAUUAAAAAGGAUGUUUUUACCAGAAAAUAAAAGAGAGGAGUAGAUCUUGGGUAGAUUAGAGACCUACAUCCACUUACUGGGUUCACACUUUGAUGUGACUAGUCAACACAAAGUCAAAGUGCAGAAAAGGAACUGAGAAAACGAUACAGAAAACGUGUGGGUUUUACUCAUAACGUUGUGGCAUUCACAGUUUAUCCUCCGGUUUCUUACAGGUUCCCUUCUCUGUGAACUGAACAGCAAUCGCAUAGCUCAGCUUGGCCUCUCAAUAUCAGCAAUAUAACUGGCAUCCCUUACAGAGCCUCUGGAUUUUCUCUUGUUCCCUGUUGUUUUCCGUCCAGUUCUUGGCCAGGCCUCCUCGCACUACCCUGCAGCCUUGCUGAAGGAAUCCUCAUGGGAAACUUUGGAUGUGUCAUACCUUGAUGUCACCAGCCUUUUCCUUUCUUGUUCUCAUGCUGCCUCACUUCUGAGUUUGUUUCUGAGGAGCAGGAGCUGAUGUCCACAGGUCUUGACCCUGAAAGUAUGCAAAGGCUGGAGCUAU